UUGAACGUCACAGAGAGCGUAGAACGCUCGGCCUCCCUGGAGUCUUAAAGGGGCCGUAGCCCCUGCAUGACGUGAUUGCCAGGAGCGAUUUGGUGCACUGCAUUAUGGAAGGGGCUUCCGGGAACCCGGAGGAGGAUUGCGAGGAAGCCAAAGAUCCAGACAGCAAAGACAUUGGAAAAGGACAGUCAUCCCCAGCAACUAAUAAUUCAGGAAGUGUUCCAGAGUAUGACAACAACAGAGAGAUGGAACCAGAGGAGACCAUAGAGGAGGCAAAUAUAGGCACAGGUUCCGAAGAUCAUCCAGGAAGAGUUAAAAGUGGAACUCCCAUAUCUUCAGCUAGGUCAUCUUAUAAAGAGAGCCAAGAGGAAAAGAUUGAUAGCAGUCCAGAGCCUAGAUCAGAUAUUACCUCCUUGGAAAGAUCAUCAGGGCUGUCCUCCCAAGAACCCACUAAGGCAUUAUCGUCAAGCAAAGGAUCUAAAGGCCAUCCUACAAUAUUGGGAGGAGUCAGGAGAGAAAGCUCUGCUGUGUGUUACUUAAGCAGGGAGGUGUUGGAUACCGUUGCUGCCAAUUUGUCCGAAAAACCCUUAGGAAUAUCUGUAUCAAUGCAGACAGAUGCGAGCUGGCUUCAUGACCAUGUUUACAAGAAGAAGACUCCAAGGGAAGAAAAGUUUCCUCCUGAGAACGAUAUCUAUGCUGUCCUGGCCCAAGACCUCAGCUGUUUAGACAUUUUGUGCGACACGGAGUUUAGAGAAGACUUCUUAAAGCUGUUUCAGGAAUCGCUGCGCACUCUCUCCAGUGUUGGCCCACCAAGCAUAUUAGCGUAUAGACCGGAAUCAUCAAGAGGAGACAUUCAUAUAGAGUUUGAAAAAGACUAUCGAGAAAUCUGUGAGUUCUGUGGCAGCCCACUGAGAAAUUAUCCUUCAUUUGAAAGUCUAGAAAAAAUAGCAGAGUAUGGAUACCUCUUCUGUUGCCAGCAAUGCAGAGAGCUUCAUGAAUUCAUUGUCAGUGAAAAAAACCGCUAUGCAAAGGAAGAAAUUGAGCUGAUUGAUAUUUCCAUUAAGCAGUCCCAUGGAAGCGAGGUUGAGAGACAACAAGCCAGGGAAAGAGCCCGCCAGAGGAUGAAGGCAAGACAAAUGGCCCAACAGUAUGCCUACAUGGCAACAGAGCCAGAAAGGGGCAUCAUUCCAACUCAUGCCUUUGAAUAUUGCUGUGGGCUGGCAGAACAUAAGAACAUAAGAAGAGCCUGCUGGAUCAGGCCAGUGGUCCAUCUAGCCCAGCAUCCUGUUCUCACAGUGGCCAACCAGAUGCCUAUGGGAAGCCCGCAAGCAGGACCUGAGCGCAACAGCACUCUCCCCACUUGUGAUUCCCAGCAACUGGCAUUCGGGAGUAUAUUGCCUCCAACAGUGGAGGUAGAACAUAUCUAUGAGGAUAAUAAGCAACUUAGUACAAUUUCCUACUGCCUAUCCGAAAUGGAACCUUCUUCAAUGGGCUGGACAAAGAUUCCUCCCCACGAAAUGGAAGAAGAACGGUCAAGGAGCCAAGACAUGACCUACAGGGUCUCUUGCUGCGAUUUUACUAUUGCGGGUGGAAAGUUGUUGAAAAACCAGUUCUUACAACAAUACUACAAAAAUGGUGUGAAGUUUCUUACCAUAUUCCCAGAUGGCACUGCACAAAUAUUCUAUCCCUCUGGAAAUCUGGCAGUUAUCAUUGUACGAAAGAAUGAGGACAUGGGCUACAUUUGUAUAGUACAAGAAGACAAGCUUGAGAAUGCAGAAAUCCAAGCAGUGUUUGAUUCCUGUGGCAAAGGGACUUGCUAUCAUCCAAAUGGAAAUGUAUGGAUAAAUAUUACAAUUCGAGGAGGACAUUAUUCAGACCAAGCUGGCAACAAAGUGAAAACAUGGAUUUGGCCAAACAAUUUGCAGAAUUGCAUUGCCAGAGUAACAUUUAAGCCAGUCUUUCUAUCAUUGAACCAGAAUGUCGGUGUCAGGAUACAUGGGCAAGAAAGAAUCGUCAUUUCUUUUCUUGCGAUGGGAAAACAGGCAAAAAUCAACAUUGGAGCAAAUGUACAGCCACUUGCUGAUCAUCACCCAUGGCCAAAGCACGUCUCUAAAGAUGACCUCCUGCUAUUUGCAUACAGAAUAAAGAUUCUCCGCAUCUUUACUAAACUGCAUGGAUGUUUAGAUUUUCCAACCAAUGACUGGUGGGCUAAACUCCAGCUCCCUUCAUAUCUAUUGAAUCGGGCUUUGAAGUUAAUACACCUUUGUAAAGAGUGUGAAAAAAACUGAUCUACGAAUGGAGCCCUGCUCAUCCUAUUGACAGAUUCCCUAUCCAUUUCGAAGAGAGCCACUGUGGUGUAGUGGUUAAGGUGUUGGACUACAACCUGGGAGACCAGAGUUCGAAUCCCCACAGCCAUGAAGCUCACUGGGUGACCUUGGGCAAGUCACUGCCUCUCAGCCUCAGAGGAAGAAAAUGAUACAGGAUCAGUCUCAGGCCCGGAACCUGGCAAGCCUACAUCACAAUGACAUCUGGUAACGAUCAUCAGGUCUUCUAAGUACCAUGCUUGAAAAGAGCCCUUCAUAGCACUUUGAAGUGCCACUGAUCAGCAGGCUUUGAAGUGACCACCUAUCAGCUGAUGGGUAGUGACUUGAAGCCUACUUUCUGAAGGGAUCAGCUGUGUGAUCACAUUCCCCAUGGGGAACAACAUCUCUACCUGCAACACACCUGAUGCCACCAGGUGGGUAUGGUUUGAGGAAAACAGGCCAAACUGGGACUUGUGCUGAGCCAAUUUGGCCCAUGGCCCAGAAGUUCCAUACCACCACUCUAAAUAAUUGAAGUUCAAAAAGUGACUCUGUUCUGAAA
Rhineura floridana is the source of this 2859-nucleotide RNA transcript. It is a transcript of the gene named glutamate rich 6, with no coding region annotated. NCBI's taxonomy places the organism in Eukaryota, Metazoa, Chordata, Lepidosauria, Squamata, Rhineuridae. The record is from RefSeq and is a predicted model, not a curated record. The transcript is spliced from 21 exons.